AAAAUAAUCCUACCUUUGUGAAUUUUGUUUGUUUGAAUAAUUUUUUUUUUUAAAAAUUAUUGGAGUCUUUCCCUUUAGAGUUUGCUUUUGAGUUUGUAAAAGAAUUCGAAAACAUCUAAAGGGGAUGGUCAAUAAUUUUUUUUGAAAAAGACAUUUUUUAAAAUUAAACUUUUUGUAUUCGUUUGUCUAAAAAUUAUUUUUAUAAUAUAAAACAACUUUUGACAAUGGAUCUCUUGGUUCUCGCAACGAUGAAGAACGCAGCAAAAUGCGAUAAGUAGUGUGAAUUGCAGAAUACGUGAAUCAUCGAAUCUUUGAACGCAUAUUGCACUUUUUUAGUUUACUAAAAAGUAUGUCUGUUUGAGUAUCAGUAAAAUAUUCUCAUAAAAAUCAUUGUGUAUUUUUAUGGUUAUGAGUGUUUUACAACGAUACAAGUUGUUUCACUUUAAAUUUUUUUUUAAUAUUGAAAUUUUUCUAAUUUAAUAAUUAAAAUUGGAUAAAAUUUUCCCGUCAAAAGGAAUAACCUAAACAAUUUUAAAUGAUAAUUUUAGCAAAAUUUUCGAAAAAAGGAAAAUUUUUAUUAAAAUAACUUGAUCCAAAUCAGAUAAGAGUACCCGCUGAACUUAAGCAUAUCAAUAAGCGGAGGAAGAGAAACUAACAAGGAUUCCUUAGUAACGGCGAGUGAAGCGGGAAGGCUCAAAUUUGAAAUCUUCAAGGUUUUACCUUGACGAUUGUGUUUAAGAAGUGUUUUCUGCUGAAGUUUUGGUAAAAGUUCUUUGGAAUAGGCAUCAUAGAGGGUGAGAAUCCGUAUUUGACCAUUAUUUUCAGCUUUGUGAUACACUUUCAAAGAGUCGGAUUGUUUGGGAUGCAGUCCAAAAUGGGUGGUAAAUUUCAUCUAAAGCUAAAUAUUGGCGAGAGACCGAUAGCGAACAAGUACCGUGAGGGAAAGAUGAAAAGAACUUUGAAAAGAGAGUUAAACAGUACGUGAAAUUGUCAAAAGGGAAGCGUUUGACACCAGUGUUGUUUUCUCGAAAAUCAAUUAAAAAUGGCUCGAUUUUGUAUUGCUGAGACCUUAAAAGCUCACUGUACAUUUUUCGUGUCUUUUUUAAUGCACUUUUCGUUUAACAAGUCAACAUCAGUUUCUUUUGUUGUAAAAGGUCAUUGGAAGGUGGCUUUCUUUUCGGAGAAAGUGUUUAUAGCCUUUGGCUCUGCAAUCGGAGAGACUGAGGUCUGCAGCGUAGACUCUUCGGGUUAGAUACAUUUGUGCUAAGUUAUAGCUUUUAUAGACAACUUGUUGACUAUAAUUAGUCUUGUAGCUUACUCGCUUAUGCUAUUU
Molecule: unclassified non-coding RNA, 1333 nt
Filed under: uncultured Neocallimastigales
Lineage: Eukaryota; Fungi; Neocallimastigomycota; Neocallimastigomycetes; Neocallimastigales
Description: partial contains internal transcribed spacer 1, 5.8S ribosomal RNA, internal transcribed spacer 2, and large subunit ribosomal RNA
Rfam family: Eukaryotic large subunit ribosomal RNA (bases 588-1333)
Source: RNAcentral